This 371-nucleotide ribosomal RNA is filed under the name uncultured bacterium. RNAcentral's name for it is "bacterial SSU rRNA". It matches the Rfam family "Bacterial small subunit ribosomal RNA", at positions 527 to 896 of the family's 1533-position model. The record is from RNAcentral.
GUAGGGUGCGAGCGUUAAUCGGAAUUACUGGGCGUAAAGCGUGCGCAGGCGGCGCCGCAAGUCAGGCGUGAAAUCCCCGAGCUUAACUUGGGAAUGGCGCUUGAAACUACGGUGCUGGAGUGUGGCAGAGGGAGGUGGAAUUCCACGUGUAGCGGUGAAAUGCGUAGAGAUGUGGAGGAACACCGAUGGCGAAGGCAGCCUCCUGGGCCAACACUGACGCUCAUGCACGAAAGCGUGGGGAGCAAACAGGAUUAGAUACCCUGGUAGUCCACGCCCUAAACGAUGAUGACUAGUUGUUGGGGGAGUUAAAUCCCUUAGUAACGCAGCUAACGCGUGAAGUCAUCCGCCUGGGGAGUACGGUCNNAAGANUA